GUCCGCACGAGCGCAACCCCUACUUGUUAGUUGCCAUCAUUCAGUUGGGCACUCUAGCGAGACUGCCGGUAAUAAACCGGAGGAAGGUGGGGAGUGACGUCAAAUCAUCAUGCCCCUUAUGACCUGGGCUACACACGUGCUACAAUGGUUGGUACAACGAGUUGCGAGUCGGUGACGGCGAGCUAAUCUCUUAAAGCCAAUCUCAGUUCGGAUUGUAGGCUGCAACUCGCCUACAUGAAGUCGGAAUCGCUAGUAAUCGCGGAUCAGCACGCCGCGGUGAAUACGUUCCCGGGCCUU
RNAcentral lists this ribosomal RNA (297 nucleotides) under uncultured Streptococcus sp. Its description in RNAcentral is "partial 16S ribosomal RNA". It matches the Rfam family "Bacterial small subunit ribosomal RNA", at positions 1084 to 1382 of the family's 1533-position model. The record is from RNAcentral. Lineage: Bacteria; Bacillati; Bacillota; Bacilli; Lactobacillales; Streptococcaceae.